RNAcentral lists this ribosomal RNA (1773 nucleotides) under Triticum aestivum (bread wheat). Its description in RNAcentral is "partial small subunit ribosomal RNA". Lineage: Eukaryota; Viridiplantae; Streptophyta; Magnoliopsida; Poales; Poaceae. The record is from RNAcentral.
AUGGGGGGCUGCUUCUCCGGCGACGUGCGCGGCGGCACGGAGGCGGUCGGCGGGGGCGCGAUGGGGGCGGCGGCGGGGCAGGGCCAGGGCCAGGGCGGGCCGAACGAGGCGCUCGACCACUUCCUCCAGGGCCACGGGCUGCGCGGCCUCUACACCCCCCUCGAGCUAUCUUUUUCAGCUUCCAAGUUGAGAGAUAUGGAUGCUCUUUCUAAGAGUGAUCCUAUGUUCGUGGUUUACACAAAAAUGGAUGGAAGGCUAGAAGAGAUUGGCCGCACUGAAGUGAUAUUGAAUUCACUGGAACCAUUGUGGAUCACAAAAGCCAUGAUAAAUUACCAAUUUGAGAUUGUGCAACCCCUCGUAUUCAGGAUAUAUGACAUUGACACAAAGUACCAUAACACACCAGUGAAGAUGUUAAACUUGGCUCAGCAAGAUUUUCUUGGGGAAGCAUUCUGCAAUUUAUCCGAGAUAGUCACAAAGUUCAACCAUAGCCUGACUUUGAACCUCCGAAAUGGUUCUGGACAUGCCCUUCAGGGCACAAUGACAGUACACGCUGAAGAAACUGCUUCAUCUAGGAUGGCAGUUGAGAUGACAUUCCACUGCCUGAACCUUGAUAACAAGGACACGUUCUCCAAAAGUGAUCCCUUCUUGAGAGUAUCAAGACUGUCAGAAAGUGCUGUUGCCAUUCCUAUAUGUAAAACAGAAGUGAUCAGUAACAACUUAAACCCCGUUUGGAGGCCUAUAACACUGACAUCACAACAAUACAGUAGCAGGGAUGACCCACUACUAGUUGAGUGUUUUGAUUUUGAUGCCAGUGGCGACCAUGAACUUAUGGGGGCUCUCCAGACAACUAUCGCUCAGCUUGAAAAUCUAUAUAAGUCAAAGGCUGGAGCAAAUUUUUACAGCCGUAAGGGACAAAAGAAGUUGAAAGGACAGUUGUUCUUGGAUACGUUCCAGGAAAAAGUUCAACAUACUUUCUUGGACUAUAUUUCCAGCGGGUUUGAGCUCAAUUUUAUGGUGGCUGUAGAUUUUACUGCAUCAAAUGGCGACCCUCGUAUGCCACAAUCUUUGCACUACAUUGACCCCUCUGGCAGACUAAACUCAUACCAGCAGGCAAUUCUAGGGGUCAGCGAAGUUCUGCAGUUUUAUGACAAGGAUAGACGAUUCCCUGCAUGGGGUUUUGGUGCAAGGAUACCACAAGGAUCUGUAUCCCACUGUUUCAACUUGAAUGCAAGCACCAACGAUUGUGAGGUUGUUGGAUUUGAAGGCAUCAUGUCAGCAUACUCUUCUACUCUGUACAGUGUUUCUCUGUCAGGGCCAACCUUGUUUGGGCCCGUGAUCAACAAAGCUGCAGAAAUUGCCAGCCAUUCUGUGCAAUAUGGGAACAACAGAUAUUUUGUCCUGCUCAUUAUCACGGAUGGAGUUAUCACCGACGAGCAAGAAACAAAAGAUUCUAUUGUAAGGGCAUCAGAUUUGCCGUUGUCGAUUCUCAUCGUGGGAGUCGGGAAUGCUGAUUUCACUCAAAUGAGGACUCUGGAUGCGGACUUGGGUAAGCGGCUUCAAAGCUCGACAGGCAGGGUGGCGACGCGUGACAUUGUCCAGUUUGUCCCCAUGAGGGAAGUCCAAGCAGGUGGGCAGGUCACCGUUGUCCAGAGCCUGCUGGAGGAGCUGCCUGGGCAGUUCCUGGAAUACAUGCGCACCCGGGGCAUCAAGCCGCGACCGCCCCAGCACGCCUUGGCGCCGCCAGCGUACCCCCCUCCUCCUCCCCAGCUGUGA